AGCAGGCAUCAAGAGAGCAUCCCAGCAGUGCCAUCACAACACAGGGCUCGAAUGUGGACAGGAGGAGGACCUAAGUGGACCCGGAGGCUGAGCUGGCCUCGCAGCACUGGUGGUGGGGGAGGGCUGAUGGUCAGGACUCUGGGUCUUUGGCACUGCUGCCUAGGCCGUGGCCCUCAGUCUGCCCAUCUGUGAAAUGAGGGGGAGCUGGUCCUGACUGCCUCCCAGGGACCCUGUGAAAAGCCGCUCUGAACUCCUUGCCAGAGAGGAGGUUUGCCGGUGCCACAAUCCAGAAUCCCUUCUGGGUCUUUGAUUCCUGGGUCAGAUGCCUCAAGAUGGCUGUGCAGGAGGCCCCGUGUCAUGGUGUGAGCUGUGACCCCGGCCAGGGCGGCUGCAUCAGAGAGAGGCUGGGGACACAGGAGGACAGAGCUGAGAUUUCUUUACAUCACAGUGGUUCAAGGAGAAAAACACAGCCAGAUCCUUCCUCAUCUCAACAUAAAUUAAACCCAGAGGCAGUCAGCGCCACAGUCCACACUCGUAACCGUUACACUCACCUGGAAAUAAAAGUAUUUUUGUGCGGGGACUGCAAGGACUAAGCCCGGCCGCACUCCGAGUUUCUCCUCCUCACAGACUGGAUGAUGAGAGGCACAGCUGAGUCCGGAGCAGACUGAGCCACCUAAGAGGGGAGGAACCGCUGCAGAGAAACCGUGUUAAGCCUUUUUGAAGUUCCAGAGGGAGAACAAGAGAGCGGAGGCUCCUGGUGGCUGGUGACAGGUGCUGAUUUGUUCUGGGGAAAGAGCACAGAAAAGUGCCUGGAGAGGAGGCGGGGCCAAAAUGGGAUGUAGGCGAUGGGAAGGACCCUCAAGACACAGUCCUGGGCUCCCAGGCAGGACCAACCCCCAAACCUGUCCCCCCAGGAGCCUGCAGAGCCACUGCCCUGACAGGGGACACCUCACUUCCUCUCCUUGCAGCUGCUCUUGGCUGGGAGAGCAGAGAACAGGGGACAGGAGAGAAGCCCCGAGAGUACUGAAGCUGAGGCUGGGGCGGUCUUCACUUCCCUCUUUCCUCGGCCCUUUUCCUGUUCUCUUGUCUUGUCUCUCUUUCUCUACUUUCCUUCUCCCUAGCCCAGUCUCUCACCGCUCUUCAGCCUCUGGGCCUUUCCUUCUUCCUCUCUUGCCCUCAUUCUUCCUUCUCUGUCCCUCUUGUCUUCUCUUUUACCUCUUCUCUUCUUCCCUCCUUCCUACAGCUAUGCCCUCUUCCCUCCUUUCUCUUGUCCCCAACCAGGGCAUUAGAAAUGCAUUCCAGUUACACUGAUCUGAUCACUGCAUAUUGUAUGCAUGCAUCAAAAUAUCACAUGUACCCCAGAAAUAUGUAAAUUACUGCAUAUCAAUAAAAAGAAAUGUAGCUUCUUUGCCUCACA
Molecule: long non-coding RNA, 1417 nt
Filed under: Homo sapiens (human)
Lineage: Eukaryota; Metazoa; Chordata; Mammalia; Primates; Hominidae
Description: long intergenic non-protein coding RNA 1141
Source: RNAcentral